GACGAACGCUGUCGGCGUGCUUAACACAUGCAAGUCGAACGGAAAGGCCCUGCUUUUGUGGGGUGCUCGAGUGGCGAACGGGUGAGUAACACGUGAGUAACCUGCCCUUGACUUUGGGAUAACUUCAGGAAACUGGGGCUAAUACCGGAUAGGAGCUCCUGCUGCAUGGUGGGGGUUGGAAAGUUUCGGCGGUUGGGGAUGGACUCGCGGCUUAUCAGCUUGUUGGUGGGGUAGUGGCUUACCAAGGCUUUGACGGGUAGCCGGCCUGAGAGGGUGACCGGCCACAUUGGGACUGAGAUACGGCCCAGACUCCUACGGGAGGCAGCAGUGGGGAAUAUUGCACAAUGGGCGGAAGCCUGAUGCAGCAACGCCGCGUGCGGGAUGACGGCCUUCGGGUUGUAAACCGCUUUCGCCUGUGACGAAGCGUGAGUGACGGUAAUGGGUAAAGAAGCACCGGCUAACUACGUGCCAGCAGCCGCGGUGAUACGUAGGGUGCGAGCGUUGUCCGGAUUUAUUGGGCGUAAAGGGCUCGUAGGUGGUUGAUCGCGUCGGAAGUGUAAUCUUGGGGCUUAACCCUGAGCGUGCUUUCGAUACGGGUUGACUUGAGGAAGGUAGGGGAGAAUGGAAUUCCUGGUGGAGCGGUGGAAUGCGCAGAUAUCAGGAGGAACACCAGUGGCGAAGGCGGUUCUCUGGGCCUUUCCUGACGCUGAGGAGCGAAAGCGUGGGGAGCGAACAGGCUUAGAUACCCUGGUAGUCCACGCUGUAAACGGUGGGUACUAGGUGUGGGGUCCAUUCCACGGGUUCCGUGCCGUAGCUAACGCUUUAAGUACCCCGCCUGGGGAGUACGGCCGCAAGGCUAAAACUCAAAGGAAUUGACGGGGCCCCGCACAAGCGGCGGAGCAUGCGGAUUAAUUCGAUGCAACGCGUAGAACCUUACCUGGGUUUGACAUGGAUCGGGAGUGCUCAGAGAUGGGUGUGCCUCUUUUGGGGUCGGUUCACAGGUGGUGCAUGGCUGUCGUCAGCUCGUGUCGUGAGAUGUUGGGUUAAGUCCCGCAACGAGCGCAACCCUUGUUCACUGUUGCCAGCACGUUAUGGUGGGGACUCAGUGGAGACCGCCGGGGUCAACUCGGAGGAAGGUGGGGAUGACGCCAAGUCAUCAUGCCCCUUAUGUCCAGGGCUUCACGCAUGCUACAAUGGCUGGUACAGAGAGUGGCGAGCCUGUGAGGGUGAGCGAAUCUCGGAAAGCCGGUCUCAGUUCGGAUUGGGGUCUGCAACUCGACCUCAUGAAGUCGGAGUCGCUAGUAAUCGCAGAUCAGCAACGCUGCGGUGAAUACGUUCCCGGGGCU
RNAcentral lists this ribosomal RNA (1346 nucleotides) under uncultured bacterium. Its description in RNAcentral is "partial 16S ribosomal RNA". It matches the Rfam family "Bacterial small subunit ribosomal RNA", at positions 28 to 1381 of the family's 1533-position model. The record is from RNAcentral.